CGGUUUCGAAAAGACCUUAUC
This 21-nucleotide small nuclear RNA is filed under the name Arabidopsis thaliana (thale cress). Its description in RNAcentral is "snRNA_07665". Lineage: Eukaryota; Viridiplantae; Streptophyta; Magnoliopsida; Brassicales; Brassicaceae. The record is from RNAcentral.